RNAcentral lists this long non-coding RNA (482 nucleotides) under Rosa chinensis. RNAcentral's name for it is "sRNA RchiOBHm_Chr2g0156351". Lineage: Eukaryota; Viridiplantae; Streptophyta; Magnoliopsida; Rosales; Rosaceae. The record is from RNAcentral.
GAUGGUUCUCAAGUUGUCUUCUUUAGAACAAAGAAUAGCACAACUUCGUCCGUUUCUUCAGUCCUUCAAGCCCACCUCAACUCCCCAACUCCCGACCUGAAUUCAGUUACUUCAAGGUUGCUGCGUACUGGAGAGCUUCACUCCUUCAAUCCUUCAAGACCACCUCGAGUCCAAAUCCAGGCGACCAGCCGACCACGAUCGUCGAGCAAGGCAGCAAGGUGCUGCAUUCCUUUCUCUUCUUCUCUCAGAGUCUCAGAGAUUGAAGGCUCCUUCUCUUCUACUGCUCUUCUUCUUUGGGGCAAUCGAUUGAAUGUAGUGCUUUGCUGACUUGCUCUGGAACACUGGAAGUCUGAAACGUGCUCUCUUGCUUACAAUUUAUUGUGGGUUUCUUCUCUUUCUUCCAAUUCGAUGUGAGGAACUGACUCAACUGAGGGCUGAGCCACUGGGGAACAAUGGUUUCAAAUUUAUUGUUUUGCAAUUGA